GCCCUAUGGGAUUCUUAUCAUAUUUGCUUGAUCUGGGAUGAUUUUGUGUCCUUGUGACUGAUGCAUGCCUUGUGCUGGUUCUGCAGGGAUUCCACCAUUAGCAUAAAGAUCAAGGCGGCGAGUGGUGGCCGUGGAAAGCAGGGGUUCCACAAUUGGCUACAUCGUCUCAAGGAGAAGAAUUCUUACAUGAUCCCUGUAACUGCUCGUUUUGUUAAUGUCUUCGCCCUAUGGGUCCAGGUUCUCAACUUCAGUCCUUCACAAUGCAAUGUGUCCAGGAUCUAAGAAUAGACAUAUAACACUUCUUAUAAUUCAGACCAUGCUUGCCAAUAAAGUUGAAUGUGCUGGAGCAAUAGUUCUAAAACUUCAUUAAGUCGAAGUAGGCAACAUUUUUUCUUAGUGGCCUUCUUUCUCCGUCGUAUCUCAAAUGCAAGCAAGCAUGCCUUUGCUAAGGGUUAGAAGAAGCCAAUGAAUAUGUCUAGGAUCUCUUUUAUAUUACUAAGGAAUACCUCUUUAUUUUUUCUAAAUGCACAUGAUAGACUGUCUGAUACUGAAAAAGUAUAUUGCAACUUCAGAAAUUUAUGCAAAUGAUGGCUCUAAGGGUUAGAAGAAGCCAAGGAGUAUGUGAUAGGCUUUUUUGAUAGUUUAUCAGAAGAAAGUGUAGAAGAAAAUGGAGAGGAUGAUGAAGUGACUCAAAUAGAAGUACGAAAUAUCUGCGUCAGCAAGCUAGGUAUGUUCGAGGAAAUAAUACUAUGCAACAUAUUUUGUUUAUAUGCUUGUGUAGACUGACCAGCUAAGUUUAUCCAUGAAGGCCUUCGUAGAUAGACAUCAUACAUGAUAACAAUGUGUGGGUAACAUCUCAACAAGGGUGUAUUUAUCUGAACUAUCAGCUGCAAUUCUUUUGGUUCCCAAUUCUUCUAGUUGUCCAAAUUAGCUGAUUGUCCAGAAGCUUAUUAGUGAAUCUGAUGGGUCAUCUCAUGCUUGCAAGCUUAAUCUUUUCACAUUGGAUUUUCUUGUGCUUAGUUUUGUUCUGACCAGACUUAUUUCUUAGUGCUCCUCCGUGUUCCUCUGCAUAACUGGAUGUGGGGAAGCACCUUACGUGAUUAUGUGAUGAUUCUUACAAUCCUGCCAAUUGUGUCACAUAUGGAUAAGAGGAUAUAUAUUCUAGAGUAUCACAAAAACACACAUUUUUACUCAGGUUGUCAUUGGUUGGUUGAUUCAACAACAUUUUGGUGCCUUGCAAUAUGAUUUUCACAAUCGUAUCAAUGCAAGCUCAUAGGUACCAUCUGUAUAAAUUUCAGAUUAACUAUCUCAGUCUCGAAGUUUAUAGAUUUGGUGGUUUGUUUGCAAGUACGUGAACAACAAGUUAAGCAAUAAGUACAAGGCGGCGAGGAGAGUUGCAAAUCGAUGACCGGCACUUCACAUUACAAAAUUUUCAUUCUUUUUUUUUCCUGGCUCAUGUUCGUAUUUUGUUUCGGAGACAAAGAAUAAUCGAGUUUUGAUUGGGACCCUGUUGUGGGAGAAACGGCUAUAUUUGAAGGGUACAAAAACUAUUUUGAGCAGCUAACUACACUUUUUUUUAUAACAGCAGCUAACUACACUUGGAAUGAGUAGUUGCUUCUGCUUGAGGACGCCAUGGACAAGUUGCUCUGGCCCUGGCGCCGCAGCCAUGGAUAUACAUGUCUAAUUGUUGCUCUUAUGUAAUUUGGUUGCUUUUGAGUAGUUGGUCUCAAAGAAUUUCAUAGUUGCCUGGAUGUUGUAUUAGUUAAGCUAUUUCUAGAUCUGCCACAGGCUGAGUAUUAUAACUGUGAUUUGGUCGUAUUGGUAGCCUCCCGAGCUAAUCUUUUGUAGGUUUUCUUAGCUUGUUUCUGUGAAUAGGAUUUGGUUUAGUUCUCAAUUGUAGUUUGUUGUUAAUGGUUGUUCGGAUGGGUGUGGCCUCUUUGAAGUCGUGGUUAUGUUUUCAUUUGCACUAGGCUGGUCGUGUUGGUAGCCUCGCGUCGUAGUCUUGAUUUGAUACGUCCAAUUAUGAUUUAGACUUUAUUUUGCACAUCUUAUUGCUUAUACUUCAUAAGUUGACAAAGCUGCUCACAUAAGGUCAUUUUCUUUUUAUGGUUUCUCAGUUUGUAUAGUUUACUUGAAUGUUGAUAUGCUUCUCUGCAGAAUGCUUUUGCAGUUUCCUGUUCAUGGGGUACUCUUAAUUAGUGAGUUAUUUUUUCUUUGAAUGGUUAAGCAAUCCACGAUUCACUAUGAAUGAAGUGGGAGGUCUAAGGGAACAACUAAGGUUACAUUGCAAGGUGUGAUGAUGCCCGCCUUUUGGAGAAUGUUCAACUUUUAUAGACCUAUUAGCUUGCUAUCCUUGACGACUAAACGCUUGCUGCUGCACUUCUGUUAUUUAUAUUCUUUUUUGAACAACUAGCGCUCGUCUGUGUUGUGUACUCCCUCCGUUCCAAAAUAGAUGACUCAAUUUUGUACUAAAGUUAGUAUAAAGUUGAGUCAUCUAUUUUGGAACGGAGGGAGUAUGAGUGAACACUGCAAUGAUCUAUUUCAGUUAAGUGCACUUGUUUUUAACAUAUGGUGCUCAUCUGGGCUGCAAAAGCAUAUGCAUACGUA
Molecule: long non-coding RNA, 2607 nt
Organism: Triticum dicoccoides
Lineage: Eukaryota; Viridiplantae; Streptophyta; Magnoliopsida; Poales; Poaceae
Exons: 2
Source: RefSeq, a predicted model, not a curated record